UUUCGAUGCUGAGUCAUUCUGAAGUCCUUCAGACAUACCAGGCUCACCCGCAAGUCUUUGGAGUCCCUCAGCACGGUUACCUAGCUGGAUGAUGCACGUGGAUGUGGCUUGACUUCUCAAGAGGAGAUUCCUUCGCACUUGUUAC
RNAcentral lists this long non-coding RNA (145 nucleotides) under Cavia porcellus (domestic guinea pig). RNAcentral describes it as "lncRNA (ENSCPOG00000040023.1)". Lineage: Eukaryota; Metazoa; Chordata; Mammalia; Rodentia; Caviidae. The record is from RNAcentral.